This 268-nucleotide ribosomal RNA is filed under the name uncultured bacterium. RNAcentral describes it as "partial 16S ribosomal RNA". It matches the Rfam family "Bacterial small subunit ribosomal RNA", at positions 85 to 354 of the family's 1533-position model. The record is from RNAcentral.
CUGAUGGCGACCGGCGCACGGGUGCGUAACGCGUAUGCAACCUACCUGUAACAGGGGGAUAACACUAAGAAAUCGGUACUAAUACCGCAUAACACUAUGAGAGGCAUCUCUUGUGGUUGAAAGUUUCGGCGGUUACAGAUGGGCAUGCGUUGUAUUAGCUGGUUGGUAAGGUAACGGCUUACCAAGGCGACGAUACAUAGGGGGACUGAGAGGUUAACCCCCCACAUUGGUACUGAGACACGGACCAAACUCCUACGGGAGGCAGCAG